This 253-nucleotide ribosomal RNA is filed under the name uncultured bacterium. Its description in RNAcentral is "partial 16S ribosomal RNA". It matches the Rfam family "Bacterial small subunit ribosomal RNA", at positions 524 to 776 of the family's 1533-position model. The record is from RNAcentral.
UACGUAGGUGACGAGCGUUGUCCGGAUUUACUGGGCGUAAAGAGCGCGCAGGCGGUCGUUCAAGUCGAGUGUGAAAGCCCCCGGCUCAACUGGGGAGGGUCAUUCGAUACUGAUCGACUGGAAGGCAGGAGAGGGAAGUGGAAUUCCCGGUGUAGUGGUGAAAUGCGUAGAUAUCGGGAGGAACACCAGUGGCGAAGGCGACUUCCUGGCCUGUUCUUGACGCUGAGGCGCGAAAGCUAGGGGAGCAAACGGG